CAGAUUUUCAUAUUUUUUACUGGGGCGGUGCCAGAAAUUUUAGGGGGGGUGGGUGAGCCGUGAGCAGGUGACUGAAGCAACACAAAGUGUCACCAUACCCCAGUAAGGUAUACUAUAUUCUAGAGGUGGAGCACUAGAGAUGUGAGGAGGAGUCUAGAGACCAGAAAACAAAGUAUCCCUGGAAAAAUUUUAAAAAAUCAUGAUUCCUAGCUUUGAAAAGAGUUUUUUGAAGUGGUCAUAUCAAUGGAUUUGGCAUGUCCGAUUGUCUGAUGAGACUUGGGAGAGUUAAUUAAAAGUUAAAUGAACCUGUAAAAGUGUAAACCUAAUAGGCC
Non-coding RNA from Paramuricea clavata, 332 nucleotides. Lineage: Eukaryota; Metazoa; Cnidaria; Anthozoa; Malacalcyonacea; Plexauridae. The record is from the annotation of a GenBank genome assembly.